CUUUUCACUUCCAGUUUGGCCCAAGGUGUUUAUUUAAAUUAAAAAGCUUUAAUCAUCCAGUCCAAUAUUCCUGAAAAGGUACGACAUUGACUCCCCAUUGUGGAUCCUGCGAAUGGCUUCUGAGAGGAUCAUGCUGAUAUCCACAGUCUUGAUUUUAGGGCACUGGAGUUUCUGGAUUUCGUGUGGAAUUGUGUUUGUAACAACCACCUCAUCAAUUGCAGAUUCUUCUAUCAGCCUGGGAGCAUCCGAAGAUAGCAGACCAUGUGUGGCCAUAACAAAGAUCUUGUAAGCCCCCCUCUCCUUGAGGGUCUCUGCUGCAGCAAGAAAGCUGUCAACAUCAUCUAUAAUGUCAUCCACGAUGAUAGCUAUUCUUCCUCCUACAUCUCCAACAACUGUGAUGGGUGGUUUUUCCUUGGGAAUCAGCAUGGGUAUCUCUAAACUGGGAUGAAUAGCAGCUACGUUUUUGGCUGUGGGUGGUGAGUGUCGACCAUCUACCAUGUCAGACUCAGCAUCUUGAGCUUCCCCAUGAAUCACUGCAAUUCCCAACCGCAAACGUUCAGCAAAUGACUGAGCCCUCUUUGCAGACGCAGGUGAUUUGGCCACAAUUACAGCAUUCCUGUAGUCUGGUAUCUCUUCUUGGAUGUACUGUAGUAAAAAUGGAGAUGCUCUCAAGUUAUCAACUGGAAUAUUGAAGAAGCCCUGUAUUUCCUUCUGAUGUAAAUCCAUGGUAAUAAGAUGAGUUAGUCCAGCUUUGCACAUCAUUGACGCCAGUAAUUUAGAGACAAUGGAGCCCCUUUUUCUCAUCUUGCACUGUUUGCUGUAGGGGAAGUAAGGAAUCACUCCAAUAAUGCUUUUGGCACAGGAUGUUUUACAAGCAUACACCAUGAUCAGGAGUUCCAUAAUCGUAGUAUUCACAUCCUUUGAAACUGUCUGGAUGAUAAACACAUCCUUUCCUCUCACAGACUCCUGAAUCUGUACUCUCGUUUCUCUGUUUGGCUCUUGAUAAACCUGAACCUUCCCCAUCUCAACUCCUAAUCGCUCAGCAAUUCUCUUUGAUAGUUCCAUGCAUGAAGAAUUGGAAUUAGCUGAAAACAGCACCAGUCCACCUUUCGUUAUAUUCAUGAUGGCUCCAGUUUCAGUUGAUGGCACACAAAACAUCAAACCUAAGUUGUCUUCCCACUCCUAAAAGAAAAUAUGGAUGAAAUGUAAGGAAGAGUUCAAUAAAGUUGGUAGCUGUAAAUAAUGACCUCUUGUACAACGCAUCCACUUGAUGAAGUAGUUGUCAUUCUUUGAUACUAAUAUUUCUCCUGCCGGCUCCGGCCCUCCGGUCCCGGGAGAAGACGGCCCGGCCCGGAGGGAUGGUGAAGAGGCAGAGGCAGCGCGAAGCUCAACCCCUCCAGCGGUUAUCCGCUCGCUCGCAAGAUGGCGGCGCCGCGAGGGGGGGGCGGGCGGAGGGCGCGCGAGGGGCGGGAGUGAGGCCACGCCCUGCCCCCCCCCUCCCCCAGCCCUUCCCGCCGAGGCCUCUCGCCGCUCUGAGGGGCGUCGCCGCCGGCGCCAUUUUCUCCCCUGAGGUGGGGGUGGGGGGGAUGCUGAGGGACCCCCGAAGAGGGCCGAUUUGGGGAGUGUGCUAUUAACGCGGCGUUUCACGUUUUCCCCGCGCGGAUGUCAAGGGUGGGCAGCGGUCUCCAUCAGGGUUGUGGAAGUCCCCUCGCAAAGUCCGAGCUGCAUAAAGCAGCGGGUGCAUCUGCGCAGUGCCAGGUUCUGUUAUACUGCACAAAUCCAGGAGGAUAAAGCUCCUGCCAGUGCCCACCAAAGCAAACACAGAGACACUGAUCAUCUUACCUUUCCCAAUCCUUUUUCUGCUAACGCAGUGGCUAAAAGCUGGUUUAACUCAUGCUUUUCAAGGCACCCAGGAUCAGCAUUUUGUGGUGUAUGGAUCAGAAUUCAAUCCUUUGGAGUACAGGUACAGAUCAGGUACUUUUCACUGCACCUUCUCACAAAAUCAUUGUUUCUGGGCUGCAGCAUACAGAGUGCAUUGGAGCAAGGCCUAGAGUACCCAAGCAGAGACCUGCGUGCCAUGAAAGACACAGAACAGCUGCCCAGACUGCUCACCCAAUGCACAAAGACAACUUUGGAUUUCGUGCUUUGAAACCUCUCAUAGCGAAACUGCCACUGUGAGCUGCAUUUUUUGCUUUAAGCAUUCACAUGCUUUCCCACAGCUCACAAUACGCACUUCAACAGUUGUCUCCGCUGCUAGCAGCCAGAGCAGGGAAGGAGAGCAGUUGAACCUGAACCAGCUGCCAGAUGCUGAGCACUCCACACACAGCACUCCUCACAGAGCUGAGACAUCUGUCUGAAAUGUGUGAGACCUAUUUGUGUCCACAGCACACUGCAGCAAUGCUGUGCGUGUGUGCAGGAUCUCAGGUUGGAAAGUGUGAUAAAACGGGCCCCAUGCCUCCUCACCACCCCCACCAUUUCCAGUCUGUGUUUCUCUGCUUACAGGCUGCUGCACCCACCGCUGAUUCGGGCUCGUUGACCUUUGCAGGUUCCCUUUUGUUUCGCAGGGAAGGCAGCUUUGAGGUUUUUGUCAGCCUCUUCACAGAGCAGCAGAGAUUUCUUAGCAUCAGUCCCCAUCACAGGGUUUCACUGCAGGCUGCAUGGCAGGGCAGCGUGAGGCAGAGCAGCCAAAACAACACAUGUUGAAGCGCUGACCCACAGUGCAAUCAGCAGCCUUCCUCAGAGGCAUUUUUCAAUACCCUCGGGGCACACACAAUUUGCUGACUGCUCGAUUUGUGCUGCCCUGAAUUCCUGACGUUUACACAAGCAAACCACAGGACCAGAAACUAAAAAAAAAUUGUG
This 2859-nucleotide long non-coding RNA is filed under the name Gallus gallus (chicken). Lineage: Eukaryota; Metazoa; Chordata; Aves; Galliformes; Phasianidae. The record is from RNAcentral.